RNAcentral lists this ribosomal RNA (88 nucleotides) under Tatlockia sp. Lineage: Bacteria; Pseudomonadati; Pseudomonadota; Gammaproteobacteria; Legionellales; Legionellaceae. The record is from RNAcentral.
CUGAUCCCUUCUCGAACUCAGAAGUGAAACAGACCCGCGCCGAUGAUAGUGUGGGGUUUCCCCAUGUGAAAGUAGGUCAUCGCCAGGG